CAGUGCGCCAGAUGAGUGGUGGGCCAAGCAAAAUGAAGCAAUGCCAGGUUGUAUUAUGUUCAAAACAGCCCCCCUAGAGAAUGAGGACGAGCUAAAGGUUAUGUUUGGACCCAUUGUCUGCACAAAUGAAAGAACCCUGGUUCCUGGCGUGGAGGAUGCUAAUUCAUCUUCUGAUGAUCAUUUGGAAUACACUUUAGGUGGGGGUGAAAACAGCACACCUGACCCUUGCACAAAUGCUACUGGGAAGCGUAAGAUGCGCCAUGAUUCCCCAAAACCAAAGAA
Long non-coding RNA from Zea mays, 282 nucleotides. RefSeq lists it as uncharacterized. The record is from RefSeq and is a predicted model, not a curated record. The transcript has 2 exons. NCBI's taxonomy places the organism in Eukaryota, Viridiplantae, Streptophyta, Magnoliopsida, Poales, Poaceae.